AAAAAACAGAUGGAGUAGAAAAUGAAUCUGUGGAGCUUGAGAAGAGUAACAUCCUUUUAAUGGGACCAACAGGUUCAGGGAAAACUUUACUUGCCAAGACCUUAGCUCGAUUGGUGAAUGUUCCCUUUGUAAUAGCAGAUGCUACGACACUAACUCAGGCAGGAUAUGUUGGGGAAGAUGUGGAAUCUAUUCUAUAUAAGCUCCUCACUGUUGCUGACUACAAUGUAGCAGCUGCUCAGCAAGGCAUAGUGUAUAUUGAUGAAGUUGACAAAAUCACGAAAAAGGCUGAAAGCCUCAACAUCAGUAGAGAUGUCUCAGGAGAGGGCGUCCAGCAGGCAUUGCUGAAGAUGCUUGAAGGAACAAUUGUCAAUGUGCCGGAGAAGGGAGCUCGGAAGCACCCUAGAGGGGAUAAUAUUCAGAUUGAUACCAAAGAUAUUCUCUUUAUAUGUGGUGGAGCCUUCAUUGACUUGGAGAAAACAAUCUCAGAAAGGCGCCAA
Molecule: unclassified non-coding RNA, 497 nt
Filed under: Hevea brasiliensis (rubber tree)
Lineage: Eukaryota; Viridiplantae; Streptophyta; Magnoliopsida; Malpighiales; Euphorbiaceae
Source: RNAcentral